AAAAAAAGGAUAGCGAUUAAGGUAAUCAUUCUUUCUUCUCUAUUUUAAUUUUUAGAUCUAAAAUAUUUAAUUCAUGGCAUGUUAAACGAUCCGUAGAUGAUUGUAGGAUUAGAUCCGAGCAUGAAUAAAAUUAAAAUUAUUUUAUAUUUAUCUUUCUGCUGCAUAGUUUUCAUAAGAUAAAAUUUUUGCAUGCUAAUCACCUAGAACUCCAACAUUAGAGA
This 221-nucleotide long non-coding RNA is filed under the name Elaeis guineensis (African oil palm). RNAcentral's name for it is "long non-coding RNA (EGUI_LNC030686)". Lineage: Eukaryota; Viridiplantae; Streptophyta; Magnoliopsida; Arecales; Arecaceae. The record is from RNAcentral.